This 30-nucleotide transfer RNA is filed under the name Pelagococcus subviridis. RNAcentral describes it as "partial Selenocysteine transfer RNA". The record is from RNAcentral. Lineage: Eukaryota; Pelagophyceae; Pelagomonadales; Pelagomonadaceae.
AGCGCAUGGGCUUCAAACCCGACGAGGCCG